Molecule: unclassified non-coding RNA, 355 nt
Filed under: uncultured fungus
Lineage: Eukaryota; Fungi
Description: sequence contains ITS1
Rfam family: 5.8S ribosomal RNA (bases 1-105)
Source: RNAcentral
GAAAUGCGAUAAGUAGUGUGAAUUGCAGAAUUCAGUGAAUCAUCGAAUCUUUGAACGCACAUUGCGCCUCCUGGCAUUCCGGGAGGCAUGCCUGUUCGAGCGUCAUCAAAAACCAUCGCGCAAAUGAAUUUUUGCUCGGACGUUGACGAUUGAGCGAAAGUCUUUUCUUUUCGCACCUCGUCGAAAUGAUCGCGGGCGGAAUUUGGGAAUCGGGUUCCUCGGCGUAGUGUACCAAUGCAUAUUUAUUAUGUAACUUGCCGCGGAGUUGAGCCUGACCCACGCAUUCUCGCCGUACAAAUCCCAUCGCAUACAAGUUUUUGACCUCGGAUCAGGUAGGGAUACCCGCUGAACUUAA